CAGCGAGACCCUCAGGGGGGCGGUGAGACCCUCAGGGGAGCGUGGCACCGCAGAGGCCCCGAGCCUCUGGUCUAUGGGCUGUUUUUUGCAUAUUUGUGAAAAACAGGAGAGACGGCAGCUCUGCCAUGGGACAGCAGGGAUCUGCAUCGGGACACCGACUGCUGAAUAAUGGGGGCAGCUUGCUCACCGGGACGGCGCGAGCGGACAGAGCAUAGGCUGGGGCCAACAGAAAGGCUGUGCUCCUGUUUUCUGAGAGCUAUGGAGACACGUUAUCCCUCAAGAGUGCACAGCACUGGAGCUCCGGGGAAGAGUUGGCGUAUAUUAAUAGACUCCUCAGCCCUUGCUUGGAGGCUGGUCAGAGCCUCAGACUUUUAUUUACAUCAAAAGCUAGGAGGCAGGAAGGCCUGCAGUGCUGGGAUACUGGGGAGAGGCAUUGCCUGGCCUCUCAAGAAUACCUAUCAGGGAGCUACUCCUUCCUCUGCCAAGGGCCAGCAGCAGACAAAUUGCCACGAACUCUCAUAUUAAAGGUGAAACAGCGUGCUUCUGCUGGCCGUUACAGAAG
Molecule: long non-coding RNA, 562 nt
Filed under: Struthio camelus australis
Lineage: Eukaryota; Metazoa; Chordata; Aves; Struthioniformes; Struthionidae
Description: lncRNA (ENSSCUG00000002324.1)
Source: RNAcentral